GAUGAACGCUGGCGGCGUGCCUAAUACAUGCAAGUCGAGCGAACAGACGAGGAGCUUGCUCCUCUGACGUUAGCGGCGGACGGGUGAGUAACACGUGGAUAACCUACCUAUAAGACUGGGAUAACUUCGGGAAACCGGAGCUAAUACCGGAUAAUAUAUUGAACCGCAUGGUUCAAUAGUGAAAGAUGGUUUUGCUGUCACUUAUAGAUGGAUCCGCGCCGCAUUAGCUAGUUGGUAAGGUAACGGCUUACCAAGGCAACGAUGCGUAGCCGACCUGAGAGGGUGAUCGGCCACACUGGAACUGAGACACGGUCCAGACUCCUACGGGAGGCAGCAGUAGGGAAUCUUCCGCAAAGGGCGAAAGCCUGACGGAGCAACGCCGCGUGAGUGAUGAAGGUCUUCGGAUCGUAAAACUCUGUUAUUAGGGAAGAACAAAUGUGUAAGUAACUAUGCACGUCUUGACGGUACCUAAUCAGAAAGCCACGGCUAACUACGUG
This 497-nucleotide ribosomal RNA is filed under the name uncultured bacterium. RNAcentral's name for it is "partial 16S ribosomal RNA". It matches the Rfam family "Bacterial small subunit ribosomal RNA", at positions 28 to 507 of the family's 1533-position model. The record is from RNAcentral.